GGGGAUUUAGCUCAGUGAUGUGAGCGCCUGCCUGGCAAGCACAAGGUUGUGAGUUCAAUCCCCA
RNAcentral lists this transfer RNA (64 nucleotides) under Cavia porcellus (domestic guinea pig). It matches the Rfam family "tRNA", at positions 1 to 62 of the family's 71-position model. Rfam says of the family: Transfer RNA (tRNA) molecules are approximately 80 nucleotides in length. Their secondary structure includes four short double-helical elements and three loops (D, anti-codon, and T loops). Lineage: Eukaryota; Metazoa; Chordata; Mammalia; Rodentia; Caviidae. The record is from Rfam by way of RNAcentral.